CGUAUCACCCAAGACAACUUUACGGAGUUGACGAUUGACGGAGCGAAGCGACGUCAAAGCGUUCAUUAAAGUCGAGUUGGCUUAGGGAUACGUUCGUUGGGUAGGGGAGCGUUCUGUAAGCCUGUGAAGGUGUGUCGUGAGGCAUGCUGGAGGUAUCAGAAGUGCGAAUGCUGACAUAAGUAACGAUAAAGCGGGUGAAAAGCCCGCUCGCCGGAAGACCAAGGGUUCCUGUCCAACGUUAAUCGGGGCAGGGUGAGUCGACCCCUAAGGCGAGGCCGAAAGGCGUAGUCGAUGGGAAACGGGUUAAUAUUCCCGUACUUGGUGUUACUGCGAAGGGGGGACGGAGAAGGCUAUGUUGGCCGGGCGACGGUUGUCCCGGUUUAAGCGUGUAGGUGUGUGUUCCAGGUAAAUCCGGUUCACUUUAACACUGAGGCGUGACGACGAGGCACUACGGUGCUGAAGCAACAAAUGCCCUGCUUCCAGGAAAAGCCUCUAAGCAUCAGGUAACAUCAAAUCGUACCCCAAACCGACACAGGUGGUCAGGUAGAGAAUACCAAGGCGCUUGAGAGAACUCGGGUGAAGGAACUAGGCAAAAUGGUGCCGUAACUUCGGGAGAAGGCACGCUGACACGUAGGUGAAGUGAUUUACUCAUGGAGCUGAAGUCAGUCGAAGAUACCAGCUGGCUGCAACUGUUUAUUAAAAACACAGCACUGUGCAAACACGAAAGUGGACGUAUACGGUGUGACGCCUGCCCGGUGCCGGAAGGUUAAUUGAUGGGGUCAGCGCAAGCGAAGCUCCUGAUCGAAGCCCCGGUAAACGGCGGCCGUAACUAUAACGGUCCUAAGGUAGCGAAAUUCCUUGUCGGGUAAGUUCCGACCUGCACGAAUGGCGUAAUGAUGGCCAGGCUGUCUCCACCCGAGACUCAGUGAAAUUGAACUCGCUGUGAAGAUGCAGUGUACCCGCGGCAAGACGGAAAGACCCCGUGAACCUUUACUAUAGCUUGACACUGAACAUUGAGCCUUGAUGUGUAGGAUAGGUGGGAGGCUUUGAAGUGUGGACGCCAGUCUGCAUGGAGCCGACCUUGAAAUACCACCCUUUAAUGUUUGAUGUUCUAACGUGGACCCGUAAUCCGGGUUGCGGACAGUGUCUGGUGGGUAGUUUGACUGGGGCGGUCUCCUCCUAAAGAGUAACGGAGGAGCACGAAGGUUGGCUAAUCCUGGUCGGACAUCAGGAGGUUAGUGCAAUGGCAUAAGCCAGCUUGACUGCGAGCGUGACGGCGCGAGCAGGUGCGAAAGCAGGUCAUAGUGAUCCGGUGGUUCUGAAUGGAAGGGCCAUCGCUCAACGGAUAAAAGGUACUCCGGGGAUAACAGGCUGAUACCGCCCAAGAGUUCAUAUCGACGGCGGUGUUUGGCACCUCGAUGUCGGCUCAUCACAUCCUGGGGCUGAAGUAGGUCCCAAGGGUAUGGCUGUUCGCCAUUUAAAGUGGUACGCGAGCUGGGUUUAGAACGUCGUGAGACAGUUCGGUCCCUAUCUGCCGUGGGCGCUGGAGAACUGAGGGGGGCUGCUCCUAGUACGAGAGGACCGGAGUGGACGCAUCACUGGUGUUCGGGUUGUCAUGCCAAUGGCACUGCCCGGUAGCUAAAUGCGGAAGAGAUAAGUGCUGAAAGCAUCUAAGCACGAAACUUGCCCCGAGAUGAGUUCUCCCUGAGA
RNAcentral lists this ribosomal RNA (1710 nucleotides) under Salmonella enterica subsp. enterica serovar Typhimurium. RNAcentral describes it as "partial 23S ribosomal RNA". It matches the Rfam family "Bacterial large subunit ribosomal RNA", at positions 1154 to 2820 of the family's 2925-position model. Lineage: Bacteria; Pseudomonadati; Pseudomonadota; Gammaproteobacteria; Enterobacterales; Enterobacteriaceae. The record is from RNAcentral.